GGGAUGACCGGUGGAAACAGAUCGUUACUUCACGAUUUACCAUCCCAAUUUCUGUACUUGAAAACUUUGUAGGGUACCAAGUUUCCAUCUUACUUUCCUGCCACCAAGUCCAAACCAUGUAGCUGCCCACAAAGUGCCUCUAUCUGUGUGCUGGGGACAACUCAUACUAGCUGUCAGAAUUGAUGGCUAAAUUUUUAACAUGAUCAUUUACAUUUCAGAAAUGGAUUGUUAAUUCUGCUAUACUCCCUACCC
Molecule: long non-coding RNA, 252 nt
Filed under: Sarcophilus harrisii (Tasmanian devil)
Lineage: Eukaryota; Metazoa; Chordata; Mammalia; Dasyuromorphia; Dasyuridae
Description: lncRNA (ENSSHAG00000021317.1)
Source: RNAcentral